GGGACACGUGGUAUCCUGUCUGAAUAUGGGGGGACCAUCCUCCAAGGCUAAAUACUCCUGACUGACCGAUAGUGAACCAGUACCGUGAGGGAAAGGCGAAAAGAACCCCGGCGAGGGGAGUGAAAAAGAACCUGAAACCGUGUACGUACAAGCAGUGGGAGCACGCUUAGGCGUGUGACUGCGUACCUUUUGUAUAAUGGGUCAGCGACUUAUAUUCUGUAGCAAGGUUAACCGAAUAGGGGAGCCGAAGGGAAACCGAGUCUUAACUGGGCGUUAAGUUGCAGGGUAUAGACCCGAAACCCGGUGAUCUAGCCAUGGGCAGGUUGAAGGUUGGGUAACACUAACUGGAGGACCGAACCGACUAAUGUUGAAAAAUUAGCGGAUGACUUGUGGCUGGGGGUGAAAGGCCAAUCAAACCGGGAGAUAGCUGGUUCUCCCCGAAAGCUAUUUAGGUAGCGCCUCGUGAAUUCAUCUCCGGGGGUAGAGCACUGUUUCGGCAAGGGGGUCAUCCCGACUUACCAACCCGAUGCAAACUGCGAAUACCGGAGAAUGUUAUCACGGGAGACACACGGCGGGUGCUAACGUCCGUCGUGAAGAGGGAAACAACCCAGACCGCCAGCUAAGGUCCCAAAGUCAUGGUUAAGUGGGAAACGAUGUGGGAAGGCCCAGACAGCCAGGAUGUUGGCUUAGAAGCAGCCAUCAUUUAAAGAAAGCGUAAUAGCUCACUGGUCGAGUCGGCCUGCGCGGAAGAUGUAACGGGGCUAAACCAUGCACCGAAGCUGCGGCAGCGACGCUUAUGCGUUGUUGGGUAGGGGAGCGUUCUGUAAGCCUGCGAAGGUGUGCUGUGAGGCAUGCUGGAGGUAUCAGAAGUGCGAAUGCUGACAUAAGUAACGAUAAAGCGGGUGAAAAGCCCGCUCGCCGGAAGACCAAGGGUUCCUGUCCAACGUUAAUCGGGGCAGGGUGAGUCGACCCCUAAGGCGAGGCCGAAAGGCGUAGUCGAUGGGAAACAGGUUAAUAUUCCUGUACUUGGUGUUACUGCGAAGGGGGGACGGAGAAGGCUAUGUUGGCCGGGCGACGGUUGUCCCGGUUUAAGCGUGUAGGCUGGUUUUCCAGGCAAAUCCGGAAAACUAAGGCUGAGGCGUGAUGACGAGGCACUACGGUGCUGAAGCAACAAAUGCCCUGCUUCCAGGAAAAGCCUCUAAGCAUCAGGUAACAUCAAAUCGUACCCCAAACCGACACAGGUGGUCAGGUAGAGAAUACCAAGGCGCUUGAG
RNAcentral lists this ribosomal RNA (1273 nucleotides) under Escherichia coli. RNAcentral's name for it is "partial 23S ribosomal RNA". It matches the Rfam family "Bacterial large subunit ribosomal RNA", at positions 419 to 1694 of the family's 2925-position model. The record is from RNAcentral. Lineage: Bacteria; Pseudomonadati; Pseudomonadota; Gammaproteobacteria; Enterobacterales; Enterobacteriaceae.